CAGGGAUUGCCCUAGUAACGGCGAGUGAAGCGGCAUCAGCUCAAAUUUGAAAUCUGGCUCUUUCAGAGUCCGAGUUGUAAUUUGCAGAGGGCGCUUUGGUGUCGGCAGCGGUCCAAGUUCCUUGGAACAGGACGUCACAGAGGGUGAGAAUCCCGUACGUGGUCGCUGACCUACACCGUGUAAAGCCCCUUCGACGAGUCGAGUUGUUUGGGAAUGCAGCUCUAAAUGGGAGGUAAAUUUCUUCUAAAGCUAAAUACUGGCCAGAGACCGAUAGCGCACAAGUAGAGUGAUCGAAAGAUGAAAAGCACUUUGGAAAGAGAGUCAAACAGCACGUGAAAUUGUUGAAAGGGAAGCGCUUGCAGCCAGACUUGCUUGUAGUUGCUCAUCCGGGCUUUUGCCCGGUGCACUCUUCUGCGAGCAGGCCAGCAUCAGUUUGGACGGUUGGAUAAAGGCCUCUGUCACGUACCUUCUCUCGGGAAGGCCUUAUAGGGGAGGCGUCAUGCAACCAGUCUGGACUGAGGUCCGCGCAUCUGCUAGGAUGCUGGCGUAAUGGCUGUAAGCGGCCCGUCUUGAAACACGGACCAAGGAGUCUAACAUCUAUGCGAGUGUUUGGGUGUCAAGCCCGAGCGCGUAAUGAAAGUGAACGGAGGUGGGAUCCCGCAAGGGUGCACCAUCGACCGAUCCUGAUGUCUUCGGAUGGAUUUGAGUAAGAGCAUGGCUGUUGGGACCCGAAAGAUGGUGAACUAUGCUUGAAUAGGGUGAAGCCAGAGGAAACUCUGGUGGAGGCUCGCAGCGGUUCUGACGUGCAAAUCGAUCGUCAAAUUUGGGCAUAGGGGCGAAAGACUAAUCGA
RNAcentral lists this ribosomal RNA (851 nucleotides) under Pyrenochaetopsis poae. RNAcentral describes it as "eukaryotic LSU rRNA". It matches the Rfam family "Eukaryotic large subunit ribosomal RNA", at positions 69 to 938 of the family's 3401-position model. The record is from RNAcentral. Lineage: Eukaryota; Fungi; Ascomycota; Dothideomycetes; Pleosporales; Pyrenochaetopsidaceae.